GGGGCAGGCGAUCCCAAAGUCCUCGCGGCCGCCAGGCACGAGGCCCCGCUGCCGUGCCCCCGCCCCCGGGCUCGGCUCUUCGCCCCGCGAGCUCCCCGGGAAGACGGCUGCGGAGACCCGAACUCGGAACCGAGGGGAAAGGCUUGAGGGAGGCACUCUGAGCCCUGCCUCGGCCGGAGUCUUGGGGGGCCGACCCUCUCCGUCCCCCUCUUCCCACUCCUGGGCCACGAGUUUGAGCCUAACCGGGUUAAGUGCCCAGGGACGGCGGACCUGGGGUCCUCCAGUCCAAGGUCGAGGGAGGACUGCACGGCGGCGGGGCCAGCCUCCUCUGGGCCUACUGUUAGAGGAGUCACGACUUCGUCUGCAUUUGUAUAGACAGGUGGAUAUAUGAGCAGAAGUAACCCACCUCCUUUUAAUAUUUUUAGCUUUUUUUUUUUUUUUUUUAAACACCAACCGCUUGCCAGGCACCAGGCCAGUCACUUUAUAUUAUCUCCUCCUUAUGUACAUGAUUUGAUCCAUAUAAUCCUGUCAGGCUGACAUUAUUAAUCCCAUUUUACAGAUAAGGAAACUGAGGCGCACAACGUUUAAAUAAUUUGCCCAAAGUUCCGCAACCAGCAGACCUCAGAUCCUGCAAGAGACUGGGGUGUUUGGCAGAACCUGAAUCCAAGCUACUUGAAAUAUACCAGCCGGAGCCUCUCCCUCCCUGGGCCCUAGAAAACGUUUGUGCUACUUGGCUGAGGCCGAUGCUGCUUGAGCUGAGAAAGAAAAGAAGGAAAAUGUGGCCAAGAGCUUCCCAGGCUGGGUUAUUCCAAGGUUGCAGAGCAGCCUGUGCCCAUCUCUUCUCGCUUCCUGUGAGAUAAACUGGCUGCACAGGAUCUGCCUGUGGCCUCCUGAACACAGGUUCCCGGGUAAUGGAAAGAAAAAAAAAUCCACUGAGUGUUUUCUGUGAGCCAGGCACCAUUGAGAACUCUUUUCUUGUGUCAACCCCUUCUGUCCUCACCACAUGCCCCAUGAGGUACGAUUCGGGCACCUUUAGAAACACUGCAAAAACUGGAAACUGGAGGAACAAUGCUGGGUCCUCAAAGUUGAGCUGGAAGGUAAGUCCAGUUGGCCUUGUCCCAAAGUGGGGACUUCCCCUCCACCAAGGAACUAAGACUUGUAGGGGCCACACUGGGUAGUGCCAGCCACAGUUGGGAGAACAAUACUCCAGCAGUCAGACUGAGGCAGGAAGUGAGUCACGCUUCUUCCUUAGGCUGUGAGCAAGAGAACUCCAUUGAGGGGAAACAGGGACAGGGCUGGCCCCACCUAUCUUCCCACUUGUCCUCAGGCCUAGAAGAAAGGUCAGCCCAAAAAAAAGCAAUACUUGCUGCUUCAGGUGCCCCACCCAUCCUGGAGGCUGGCCCCAGGGGAGCCCGAAGUGGGUCUUUGGAGGGGGAGGGGCUAGCCUAGGCUCAGAUGGCUGCCACCCAGGCAGAGGCGGUGGGAAGUGGAGCUUCCCAGUUUCUCCCAGCCAGCUUGCCUCUUCAAUCCUGACUUUGGCAUAAGGCAAAAUUCUUUAAACUGGGUUCUCAGAGGUGCAACCCUCAGAGGGAGGAAUGAGGACAGGAUUGAGCAGGUGAGCACCUCUCUCUGCUUCAACCAGAGUGUCUCAUAUUUUAGGGUUUCACAUGAGAUUGUAUUUUACAACAAUUCUGCUGCUAAAAAGAAUUUGAAAGCCACUCUCUGUGAGACCUCUCUGGAAAAAAUCCCAUUUGACCACAACUGGUGACUUCUGCCUUUAUCUCAUUGCAACAAGUCCUGUGGGCAGGUAUUGUUCUCUUUAUCACUCCCAACUGGCCCUGGAGCCCAGGUCUCCUGACUUGGGGCCCUCGGGGCCCAAGGUCCUCGGGAUCCCACCUUAUCAGUUUUACACAACAGUUAGCAGGACUUGAGCACGUGACAGAAGUCUGGAGAUGAGUGGGAGAAGCAGGGCCUGAUGGGUAAGUGGGGGCUGCAAAGGGGCUCCCAUUUUCCCAGCAGGGCUCUGGGAGGAAGAGUUCAGCCAGGCCUCUCUUUAUCCUUGAUUUGGGGCUAAUCCAGGGAGGCUCCUGAGAGUAACAUAGUCCUAAAUCCACCCAGUCAUCCUGACUCCAAGUGCUUCUGUUGUCUUCUUGGGGUGCUCUGGGAGUCCUCAGUGAAAUCUCUGGCCCACCUCAGGCACAGCAAAUAAAGCCUCCGGCAGCAGCACCCACACCUAGUUUUAAGCAGAAAGUCUACACAAUAUCCAGACUUGCAUAGAAGGAUGCCCAACAAAAUUCCAUUGGUGUUCUCUCCGAGUGAAAGGGUCACAUUUGCGAUCUUUGUUUUCUUCUUUUUGCUUACCUGCAUUUUUCAGGAAUGUCUACAAGAACUCCUAAAAUAAUUAAACCUUUAAGUCAAUGCGAAAUCGAAUAAAGCGUGUCCAUACUUCACCAUCCAGCUCCAGAACACCUGGGAUUCAUCCUGGCCGCUGCUGCUUCCCCACCACAGGCUGCAGCUGCAACAGUCAGGCUCCUAUCCCUUCACAGGGCAGGGCUCUUCCAGUUCUGGCUAAACCACUUUGGGAAAACCUUCUUUAUAUGACAGGCAAAUAAGGUGUGUGUGGGUGGGGGGAGGAGCUAAAAGUGAUGUGGUGGUGACAUAUCUGGUCGCGCUGGGACUGGAUCCUAACAUGGCCAGCCCUUCUCAUUUUCCUCACGUACUGGGGUGGAUCUGCACUUACCUUCUGCCUAGCUUUGCUGCAUCCCAGCCACUGGCUAACUUAAUGGCUUCCUUCCACCAGCUCCAGCUCCUUGUCUUCUGCCUUGCCUUCCAUGGCCAGCAAGUGCUGCCACAUUAUGUACCUAAUAAAUGCUUUGGGUGCAGUCUCA
Molecule: non-coding RNA, 2888 nt
Organism: Macaca mulatta (Rhesus monkey)
Lineage: Eukaryota; Metazoa; Chordata; Mammalia; Primates; Cercopithecidae
Source: RefSeq, a predicted model, not a curated record